CCUUAGCCCAGAUAGUAGUGGAAAUCCUUUUUUGAGGUUUUUACCGAAAAAAAGAUUACAACGUAUAGCUGGAUUAGCU
Molecule: small RNA, 79 nt
Filed under: Flavobacterium sinopsychrotolerans
Lineage: Bacteria; Pseudomonadati; Bacteroidota; Flavobacteriia; Flavobacteriales; Flavobacteriaceae
Description: Flavo-1 RNA
Rfam family: Flavo-1 RNA
Source: RNAcentral